GGCCUGGCAACCCGGUCCGCCUAUUCGGCGAGUACUGGCGUUGCUGGGUCUUUACCUUCUGUCGAACUAUGAUGCACUUUAUUGUGUGUUGUAGGGAACCAGGACUUUUACCUUGAAAAAAUUAGAGUGUUUAAAGCAGGCAAUCGCUUGAAUACAUUAGCAUGGAAUAAUGGAAUAGGACAUUGGUUCUAUUUUGUUGGUUUCUAGGACCUAUGUA
RNAcentral lists this ribosomal RNA (217 nucleotides) under uncultured fungus. Its description in RNAcentral is "partial small subunit ribosomal RNA". The stretch from base 33 to 217 matches the Rfam family "Eukaryotic small subunit ribosomal RNA", at positions 677 to 864 of the family's 1831-position model. Lineage: Eukaryota; Fungi. The record is from RNAcentral.